GCUUUGACUCAUGACCAUCUUUAGGCUUCAGUAGACCUUAGGCUUCAAUGAGCCUUUAACUUCAAUGGGCCUUGAUCAUUUAGAGCCUCACGAUUUAAAAGGUGCCUCACGUUGGGAGAGAAGGUUUCAAUCCAUAUAAGCCAUAUCUCCUUUUGACUCAUAACCGAUGUGGGACUAAAGAAUCCCUCUCUACACCACAACAUAGCCCCCCAGUCAAGAGAGAGUAUGUAUGGAUAGGAGGCAAUUUUACAGACGGCGCCAAUAUUGUGGUAAUGGAUCAAGGGGUCGAAUGGCUCAGAUGGUUG
This 305-nucleotide long non-coding RNA is filed under the name Elaeis guineensis (African oil palm). RNAcentral describes it as "long non-coding RNA (EGUI_LNC050986)". Lineage: Eukaryota; Viridiplantae; Streptophyta; Magnoliopsida; Arecales; Arecaceae. The record is from RNAcentral.